UACGGGGGGGGCAAGCGUUGUUCGGAAUUACUGGGCGUAAAGGGCUCGUAGGCGGCCAACUAAGUCAGAUGUGAAAUCCCCAGGCUUAACCUGGGAACUGCAUCUGAUACUGGAUGGCUUGAAUCCGGGAGAGGGAUGCGGAAUUCCAGGUGUAGCGGUGAAAUGCGUAGAUAUCUGGAGGAACACCGGUGGCGAAGGCGGCAUCCUGGACCGGCAUUGACGCUGAGGCGCGAAAGCUAGGGGAGCGAACAGG
This 253-nucleotide ribosomal RNA is filed under the name uncultured bacterium. Its description in RNAcentral is "partial 16S ribosomal RNA". It matches the Rfam family "Bacterial small subunit ribosomal RNA", at positions 524 to 776 of the family's 1533-position model. The record is from RNAcentral.